This 1153-nucleotide long non-coding RNA is filed under the name Vulpes vulpes (red fox). RNAcentral's name for it is "lncRNA (ENSVVUG00000007221.1)". Lineage: Eukaryota; Metazoa; Chordata; Mammalia; Carnivora; Canidae. The record is from RNAcentral.
GGAUUCGAUCCCGGAUCUCCAGGAUCGCGCCCUGGGCCAAAGGCAGGCGCCAAACCGCUGCGCCACCUAGGGAUCCCUCCCAGUACAUUUUAAAUCUCUGUCCCUGGGCAGCCUCCUUUCCAUCUCACUACCCUGUUUUUGUUUAUUUGAGGUCUUAGCAGCAUCUGAAAAUACCUUGCACGUUGUUGAUUUACACUUUACUUGUGAAUACAAGCUGCUGCCCUUCAGGGAUGCAGGCAUGGUGCAGGGUGGGCAUCUUCUGUCUCAUAAGCACCCCCACUGCUCAGGCCAGAGCCUGGGAACAUGGGCAUUCAAUAAUCCUUGUCUGAAUGAAGUCUAUAGACACUGCUAGAAGUGAUGAGAAGAUCUAAUGAAAGAAUGUUUGAGAAAUCUCUUCAAAAGGUCUAAAGCACUAUACAAUGAAAACAAUGUGUUCACUGGAAGAUACCGCCAAGCUCUAAAAUUAAGCAUUUCCUUAAAUCCCUAGUAUCUCUUUAACCUAACUCCCCAACCCCCUUUUGCACUUGUCAUGCCGAGCACCGAAUGAUAAAUGGAAUUAUUGAAUCAUUAUACUGUACACCUGAAAUAAAUCACAUUGGAUGUUAACUAAGUAGAAUUAAAAGAGAUUAAAAAAAUAAAAGAAAGCAUUUCCUAGCACAUCACAGGCAGGCUUCAGAAGAGUGUCAUAGAAGGACUUCUCCCCAUUUUCCCCCAGCAAGGUUAAGAUACCCACAAGUCUUAGAAAAAGUUCUUAAUAGGGAAAAUCAUGUCAUUGAUGACACACACAACCCGAUCCCUCCAGGAUGUCUGCUUUUUCACGGGCAAUUUGACUACAGCUCCCAGCAGCCCCCGCAGUCAGGCCCGGUCACGUGAUCCUGUCCUAGCCAAUAAAAUGCGAGUGGGCUUGGUAGGCGCCGCUUCCGGGCCUGGCGCCUGCAGAGCUCUCAGGAACCGUCCAGGCUCUACCUGCCCACACCAUUUGUGGAGGAUACAUAGCCCUGAGUUUGCAGAAGGUCAAAACUUGGCACUGUUCCAGGGGCCGGGGGCAUUGGCGCUUCUUGUGACUUCAUUGUUGAUGACCUUUCCUUGUGGUUCUAAACCCUUCUCCUCUGCCCUACGUGCCUCCUCCCUCAGACCAUGUACCUGCCAGUGA